GAUGAAAUGCCUGAAAUUUCAAAGGAUUAUUUUGAUAGAAUAAAUCAUGUAGACACCUACUUUCAUCA
RNAcentral lists this transfer RNA (68 nucleotides) under Cis micans. Its description in RNAcentral is "tRNA-Ile". The record is from RNAcentral. Lineage: Eukaryota; Metazoa; Arthropoda; Insecta; Coleoptera; Ciidae.